RNAcentral lists this ribosomal RNA (609 nucleotides) under uncultured Lactarius. Its description in RNAcentral is "eukaryotic LSU rRNA". It matches the Rfam family "Eukaryotic large subunit ribosomal RNA", at positions 38 to 621 of the family's 3401-position model. Lineage: Eukaryota; Fungi; Basidiomycota; Agaricomycetes; Russulales; Russulaceae. The record is from RNAcentral.
GCAUAUCCAUAAGCGGAGGAAAAGAAACUAACGAGGAUUCCCCUAGUAACUGCGAGUGAAGCGGGAAAAGCUCAAAUUUAAAAUCUGAUGGCCUUUGACCAUCCGAGUUGUAAUUUAGAGAAGCGUUUUCCGCGCCAGACCGUGCAAAAGUCUCCUGGAAUGGAGCGUCAUAGAGGGUGAGAAUCCCGUCUUUAGCAUGGAUGCUUGGUGCUUUUGUGAUGCGCUCUCAAAGAGUCGAGUUGUUUGGGAAUGCAGCUCAAAAUGGGUGGUGAACUCCAUCUAAAGCUAAAUAUUGGCGAGAGACCGAUAGCGAACAAGUACCGUGAGGGAAAGAUGAAAAGCACUUUGGAAAGAGAGUGAAACAGUACGUGAAAUUGUUGAAAGGGAAACGCUUGAAGUCAGUCGCGUCGACCAAGACUCAGCCCUUGCCCCCUUGGCUUGGUGUUCUUCUUGGCUGACGGGCCAGCAUCAAUUUCGUCUCUCGGAUAAUGACAGGAGAAAGGUGGCACCUUUGCGGGUGUGUUAUAGUCUCCUGUCGCGUGUGAGGGAUGGGAUUGAGGCACUCAGCACGCUCUUGUAGUCGGGGCUUUGGCCCACGUUACGUGCUAG